This 405-nucleotide ribosomal RNA is filed under the name uncultured bacterium. RNAcentral describes it as "partial 16S ribosomal RNA". It matches the Rfam family "Bacterial small subunit ribosomal RNA", at positions 28 to 526 of the family's 1533-position model. The record is from RNAcentral.
GACGAACGCUGGCGGCGUGCUUAACACAUGCAAGUCGAACGAAGUGGCGAACGGGUGAGUAAUACGUGAGUAACUGCCCUCCUUUUUGGGAUAAGCCUUGGAAACGGGGUCUAAUACCGAAUAAAGGGGUAUGGCUCGCGGCCUAUCAGCUUGUGGGUGGGGUGAGGGCCUACCAGGGCGGUGACGGGUAGCCGGCCUGAGAGGUGGAGCGGCCACAUUGGUCUGAGCUACGGGCCAAACUCCGACGGGAGGCAGCAGUGGGGAAUAUGGCACAAUGGUGGAAACCCUGAUGCAGCAACGCCGCGGGCGGGAUGACGGUCUUCUGGUUGUAAACCGCUUUCAGCCAUUACGCGGUAGUGGCAGAAGAAGCACCGGCUAACUUCGUGCCAGCAGCCGCGGUAAUAC